RNAcentral lists this ribosomal RNA (119 nucleotides) under Gardnerella vaginalis ATCC 14018 = JCM 11026. The record is from RNAcentral. Lineage: Bacteria; Bacillati; Actinomycetota; Actinomycetes; Bifidobacteriales; Bifidobacteriaceae.
UUUGCGGUGGUCAUGGCUCAGGUGAGACGCCCGGUCCCAUUCCGAACCCGGAAGCUAAGGCCUGACACGGUGAGGGUACUGCACUCGAUAGGGUGUGGGAGACUAGCACGCUGCCGCAU